This 841-nucleotide ribosomal RNA is filed under the name Xanthoparmelia subtasmanica. RNAcentral's name for it is "partial large subunit ribosomal RNA". It matches the Rfam family "Eukaryotic large subunit ribosomal RNA", at positions 81 to 936 of the family's 3401-position model. Lineage: Eukaryota; Fungi; Ascomycota; Lecanoromycetes; Lecanorales; Parmeliaceae. The record is from RNAcentral.
CAGUAACGGCGAGUGAAGCGGCAACAGCUCAAAUUUGAAAUCUGGCUCCUUCGGGGCCCGAAUUGUAAUUUGUAGAGAGUGCUUCGGGCGAGACCUCGGUCUAAGUCCAUUGGAACAUGGUGUCAUAGAGGGUGAGAAUCCCGUAUGCGACCGUGGCUCGAGCCCAUGUGAAGCCUCUUCGACGAGUCGAGUUGUUUGGGAAUGCAGCUCAAAAUGGGUGGUAAAUUUCAUCUAAAGCUAAAUACUGGCUGGAGACCGAUAGCGCACAAGUAGAGUGAUCGAAAGAUGAAAAGCACUUUGGAAAGAGAGUCAAACAGUACGUGAAAUUGUUGAAAGGGAAGCGCUUGCAACCAGACCUGCCCGUAGGCGAUCAGCCGCUGUUCUCAGCGGUGUACUCGCUCUGCGAUCAGGCCAGCAUCGGUUUCGGCGGUCGGAUAAAGGCCUUGGGAAUGUAGCUUCCCUUCGGGGGAGUCUUAUAGCCCUCGGUGCAAUGCGGCCAGCCGGGACCGAGGACCGCGCUCCGGCUAGGAUGCUGGCGUAAUGGUUGUAAGCGACCCGUCUUGAAACACGGACCAAGGAGUCUAACAUCUAUGCGAGUGUUUGGGUGUCAAACCCAUACGCGGAAUGAAAGUGAACGGAGGUGAGAACCCUCAAGGGCGCAUCAUCGACCGAUCCAGAUGUCUUCGGAUGGAUUUGAGUAUGAGCAUAGCUGUUGGGACCCGAAAGAUGGUGAACUAUGCCUGAAUAGGGUGAAGCCAGAGGAAACUCUGGUGGAGGCUCGCAGCGGUUUCUGACGUGCAAAUCGAUCGUCAAAUUUGGGUAUAGGGGCGAAAGACUAAUC